RNAcentral lists this ribosomal RNA (477 nucleotides) under uncultured organism. RNAcentral describes it as "partial 16S ribosomal RNA". It matches the Rfam family "Bacterial small subunit ribosomal RNA", at positions 333 to 801 of the family's 1533-position model. The record is from RNAcentral.
ACACUCCUACGGGAGGCAGCAGUGGGGAAUUUUGGACAAUGGGCGAAAGCCUGAUCCAGCAAUGCCGCGUGUGUGAAGAAGGCCUUCGGGUUGUAAAGCACUUUUGUCCGGAAAGAAAUCCUUGGCUCUAAUACAGUCGGGGGAUGACGGUACCGGAAGAAUAAGCACCGGCUAACUACGUGCCAGCAGCCGCGGUAAUACGUAGGGUGCGAGCGUUAAUCGGAAUUACUGGGCGUAAAGCGUGCGCAGGCGGUUUGCUAAGACCGAUGUGAAAUCCCCGGGCUCAACCUGGGAACUGCAUUGGUGACUGGCAGGCUAGAGUAUGGCAGAGGGGGGUAGAAUUCCACGUGUAGCAGUGAAAUGCGUAGAGAUGUGGAGGAAUACCGAUGGCGAAGGCAGCCCCCUGGGCCAAUACUGACGCUCAUGCACGAAAGCGUGGGGAGCAAACAGGAUUAGAAACCCGUGUAGUCCCAUGAU